UAACACAUGCAAGUCGAGCGGAAACGAUGAUAGCUUGCUAUCAGGCGUCGAGCGGCGGACGGGUGAGUAAUACUUAGGAAUCUACCUAGUAGUGGGGGAUAGCUCGGGGAAACUCGAAUUAAUACCGCAUACGUCCUACGGGAGAAAGCAGGGGAUCUUUGGACCUUGCGCUAUUAGAUGAGCCUAAGUCGGAUUAGCUAGAUGGUGGGGUAAAGGCCUACCAUGGCGACGAUCUGUAGCUGGUCUGAGAGGAUGAUCAGCCACACCGGGACUGAGACACGGCCCGGACUCCUACGGGAGGCAGCAGUGGGGAAUAUUGGACAAUGGGGGGAACCCUGAUCCAGCCAUGCCGCGUGUGUGAAGAAGGCCUUUUGGUUGUAAAGCACUUUAAGCAGUGAAGAAGACUCUUCGGUUAAUACCCGGGGACGAUGACAUUAGCUGCAGAAUAAGCACCGGCUAACUCUGUGCCAGCAGCCGCGGUAAUACAGAGGGUGCAAGCGUUAAUCGGAAUUACUGGGCGUAAAGCGAGCGUAGGUGGCUUGAUAAGUCAGAUGUGAAAUCCCCGGGCUUAACCUGGGAACUGCAUCUGAAACUGUUAGGCUAGAGUAGGUGAGAGGGAAGUAGAAUUUCAGGUGUAGCGGUGAAAUGCGUAGAGAUCUGAAGGAAUACCGAUGGCGAAGGCAGCUUCCUGGCAUCAUACUGACACUGAGGCUCGAAAGCGUGGGUAGCAAACAGGAUUAGAUACCCUGGUAGUCCACGCCGUAAACGAUGUCUACUAGUCGUUGGGUCCCUUGAGGACUUAGUGACGCAGCUAACGCAAUAAGUAGACCGCCUGGGGAGUACGGCCGCAAGGUUAAAACUCAAAUGAAUUGACGGGGGCCCGCACAAGCGGUGGAGCAUGUGGUUUAAUUCGAUGCAACGCG
RNAcentral lists this ribosomal RNA (923 nucleotides) under Psychrobacter sp. K4-28L-024. Its description in RNAcentral is "bacterial SSU rRNA". It matches the Rfam family "Bacterial small subunit ribosomal RNA", at positions 49 to 963 of the family's 1533-position model. The record is from RNAcentral. Lineage: Bacteria; Pseudomonadati; Pseudomonadota; Gammaproteobacteria; Moraxellales; Moraxellaceae.